GUCAUCACAAUACACACAAGGGCGUUUACGGGCAUUGGCAUUAAAUAGACUUUCUCGUCUACUCCCCUUUCGUCUCUCUUUGUCACCGUCCUUGACAAUCUCUUUAUCACUAAGGUUUAUGUCCCUCCAUUGUUUUAAAGCUCUAAUAAGAUGUGCUAAAUCCCAUUCUUGCCAAUUCCCUUGCCCUCUCACUAAGUCACUCUUUAUCCCUGGCAAUUUGUCAAGCAAACUUCGUGUCAUUCCAUUCACACGCUCAACUUUUCCCAUUGUUUCAAGUGAUUGUACAUUAAAAAGCAGAAUUUUAUAGAAAUUGUUUAUCUCACCUGGAUCAGUACUUUUCACCACUGGUAACUCGAGAAUGUUCUGGACAUAGGCAUUGACAAUUUCGCUCGGUUUGCCGUACUCUCCUUUCAAGAUAUUUUUUGCCCUUUCAUACCCGUAGAGCGGUUAGAGGCAACCCAUCGAUAUCAGCUCUCACCUUCGGCUUAACAAACUCUUUCAAAUAGGUAAACUUCGUAACGGGCGACAGAUCGGCACCGUCAAUUUCAGCAACAAAUUUGUUCCAAAAGGGUGGCCAAUUCGCACAUUUCCCAUCGAACUGCGUAAUAGAUAGCUUCGGUAAUUUUGUCGACGCCGCUUUCUUUACUUGGUUUUGCUGUCCCGUUGCUAACACCUUCUGAAACUUUAGCUGUUGUUCAUAAAGUUCACGUUCGUGACUCAUUUUUUGUUCGUGCUUUUCGUCCUCGAUUGCCCUCUCUUGUUUAACUGAUUCGGCCAAUUCAACGGCCUGGUUUUCCUUCGCUAUAUUUUCUUUUAUUCGUUUUAAUUCUAACAAUUUCUCGUCGCCCGUUUUCAAAGUUCCUUCAAUGUCGACGAGCCAUUCUUGCACUUGCUCUUCAGUUUGUUCCUGACCGAAUUUCAAUUCUAUAAUGUCAUCUUUUAAGGCGUGACUCGCUUCGAUUUUACCUUUGAUUGACGCUUCGUGUCUAGUUAUCACAUCGAGGUUUCUCGUUUCGAUUUCUUGUUCGCUUUUACUCAACGUAAAU
Paramuricea clavata is the source of this 1046-nucleotide non-coding RNA. Lineage: Eukaryota; Metazoa; Cnidaria; Anthozoa; Malacalcyonacea; Plexauridae. The record is from the annotation of a GenBank genome assembly.